This 253-nucleotide ribosomal RNA is filed under the name uncultured bacterium. Its description in RNAcentral is "partial 16S ribosomal RNA". It matches the Rfam family "Bacterial small subunit ribosomal RNA", at positions 524 to 776 of the family's 1533-position model. The record is from RNAcentral.
UACGGGGGGGGCAAGCGUUGUUCGGAAUUACUGGGCGUAAAGGGCUCGUAGGCGGCCAACUAAGUCAGACGUGAAAUCCCCAGGCUCAACCUGGGAACUGCGUCUGAUACUGAUUGGCUUGAAUCCGGGAGAGGGCUGCAGAAUUCCAGGUGUAGCGGUGAAAUGCGUAGAUAUCUGGAGGAAUACCGGUGGCGAAGGCGGCAUCCUGGACCGGCAUUGACGCUGAGGAGCGAAAGCCAGGGGAGCAAACGGG